This is a long non-coding RNA of Oxyura jamaicensis (ruddy duck), 2233 nucleotides long. RefSeq lists it as uncharacterized. Lineage: Eukaryota; Metazoa; Chordata; Aves; Anseriformes; Anatidae. The record is from RefSeq and is a predicted model, not a curated record. The transcript has 2 exons.
UGUUUCAGCAUCAGUUUCUGAAAGCUGCUGGCAGUAAGAAACUAUUUGUUUACUCUGAGAGAACAGGAUGGUUAGAGAAGCCAUAGCAGCUGGCACAUGCUUUAACACUUUCAUUUAUCUGAGAUAGGGGAGUAAUUAAUGAAAAGUAAUGGAGUAUUAAACUUGCUACCAACAAAACACAAAGACAGAAUGAAACUGUACCUCCUGAGGAUAUUUUGCUAGCUGAGUGGAUUAUAAGUCUACUGGCAGUUUUAUCACAGGGCAGAGCUUCCAGCAAAUAUCUUAAAACAAGGUGGCAAUCUAUUAAAUUAGGUCCAUGGCCUAACCAGUGUGCUGCCUGUAGCUGGGGCCAGUAGCACUGGUGUUGGUCAGCCUUGUACUGUACUCUUUAACCACCCACAUUGCACUGCUUUAUCCACUUUUCAUUCAUUUCUGAAGUACAUGGGGUGGGGGAUCAAUAUUGCUUGCUUUUAAAUUUUUCUAUCCGCUAGAGAUCCACAGAGAAAGCAAUAGCAAUUCAAACAUUUUUAGCAAUCCAACCCUGGUACAUAAAACUGAAUGUAUAAACAAUAGAAGUUACAGAUUAAUCUCGUAUAUGCAAAUAAAUACUUAAGAAUGGAAGGAAAGAGGCAAGAGGGACAGGGAAGGAAGGACACCACAAAUCUCCCAUAGUCAAACUUGUUUGUUUUCAAGUUAGACAUUUAUAAGUACAUGUAAAUAUUUCCCAAAAAGAGAGAAUAAGUGAGUUCUUAGACUAUUCUGGCCUGAGGUUUGUUGUUUUUUUUUGAGAAGGAGUGCCUUGGUGGCUACUUCUAGUAAAGUAGUAGUCUUGAAUAUAGUCUUUGGUGGUCAUUUAACUACAUAGAUUUUAAAUAAAACAAGAUUUUUAAUGGAACUACCAGUCAAAAUCUUGACCCGAUGUUUGAGAUGUUGCCAUCAUAUUAUUCUGAGGUAGAACUCCUACUUAUAUUUUGGGAUGAUUGCUUGCUUGGUUUUCCUACUUGCUGUCUUCUUCAACCUAUAGCGGCAAAAGCAAAACUAGCAGCAUUGCACCAGCAUCGUGUGUCAGCUGUCUUCAGCCAUACUUUUAUAAAUUAAUGAUCCUGCUCUAGUUAAAACGGAAAAGUUGGACUUUGUUACUGAUUCAGAAUUGACAUAAAGUAAACGUGAAUUUACCAGAGGGUGGCAGUCUUGUUCAUCACAUCUCAAAACACUGAAAACAAACAUUUCCCCUCAACAGUUCAAGUUUAUUUUGCAGUCUAGUACUGUCCCUCGUCAAUCCUUCUGAAUUGCCUUCCAGUUUAACUCUUAGCUAAAGUCACCUUUUCUUUAAACACAAUUACUUAUUUUGCAGAAUAGUUAAGCUCUUAUACUUUGUUACAUGUGAUCUGCAUGAAUCAGAUUAGCCUAACUACACUGAGAAGAUUCAAUAAAUAGGAUAGAAGCUAAGAACAACUUCAAGUGGUUAUUUUUAAAGUACUUGUGAUCUCUGGUUUGCUGGCCACUGCCUUAUCCAGAUCAGAGUCACGCUGUGACUGAUCUGGUCUGAUCUGCUUGAGUGUACAAUACACUCAAACAUAGGACUCCAAAAUUUUCACAGCUCACAUCGCAUGCAUUUUGAGUAGAGAUUUGUUAUCAGUGGUUUGGGUCUUUAUUUUGUCUGAAGAGACUGUACAGAAUGAAACAAGGGCAAAGAAUGAGUUUUUGUACGUUUAGAAUACAGAAGAAGGAAUUGCAAGACAUUCAGAAAUAGUAACUUGCCUGUUUAUUGUGGAUAUUAUCUCUUUUAAGAAGGCACGCUAAUAUUUAUACUUAAAACAGGUUAUAGAAGUGACUUUGAUUUGAAAUAAGUUCAGAUGUAACAGAAAACAGUCUUGUACGAAAGGAAUCUGCCUCAUCCUUCAGAACUUAAAAUGGCUUCAGAAAAGGCAGCUUACAUACGGUAUUUUAAGACUUUCUUUGAACUAUGAAGAGCCCUUGAUGUAAAUGAGAUACAGAUUCAAAAGGUUAAAUGUCCUGAAAAUGUAAAUGUUAGAAUUUGUGAUGGCCACUCUAACAGUAAUUGUACUCCACUAGGUUAGUUUGGGAAUUGGUGGCUUGUAGAAGUGGAAGCAUGUAUAAAUAAAAGACUUCCUGGUCUUUUCAUCAUCUCCCUUUUGUGUUUUUGAAGCCUUGGCUGAGAGUGUUUCAAAUGUUCCUAACUGAAAUGAAGGAAAUUUGUAUGGGAUUCUUA